Molecule: transfer RNA, 76 nt
Filed under: Escherichia coli 2-222-05_S1_C1
Lineage: Bacteria; Pseudomonadati; Pseudomonadota; Gammaproteobacteria; Enterobacterales; Enterobacteriaceae
Description: tRNA-Lys
Rfam family: tRNA
About the family: Transfer RNA (tRNA) molecules are approximately 80 nucleotides in length. Their secondary structure includes four short double-helical elements and three loops (D, anti-codon, and T loops). Further hydrogen bonds mediate the characteristic L-shaped molecular structure. tRNAs have two regions of fundamental functional importance: the anti-codon, which is responsible for specific mRNA codon recognition, and the 3' end, to which the tRNAs corresponding amino acid is attached (by aminoacyl-tRNA synthetases). tRNAs cope with the degeneracy of the genetic code in two manners: having more than one tRNA (with a specific anti-codon) for a particular amino acid; and 'wobble' base-pairing, i.e. permitting non-standard base-pairing at the 3rd anti-codon position.
Source: RNAcentral
GGGUCGUUAGCUCAGUUGGUAGAGCAGUUGAUUUUUAAUCAAUUGGUCGCGGGUUCGAAUCCUGCACGACCCACCA